UAGGCGGUUGUAGUUUAAGAAAAAUGUUGCGUUGUGGGUGCAAAGAUGGGUUUAGGCUUCAACCGUAC
Molecule: transfer RNA, 68 nt
Filed under: Hiatula acuta
Lineage: Eukaryota; Metazoa; Mollusca; Bivalvia; Cardiida; Psammobiidae
Description: tRNA-His
Source: RNAcentral